UGGGGAAUUUUGGACAAUGGGCGAAGCCUGAUCCAGCAAUCGCCGCUGUGUGAAGAAGGCCUUCGGGUUGUAAAGCACUUUUGUCCGGAAAGAAAUCCUUGGCUCUAAUACAGUCGGGGGAUGACGGUACCGGAAGAAUAAGCACCGGCUAACUACGUGCCAGCAGCCGCGGUAAUACGUAGGGUGCAAGCGUUAAUCGGAAUUACUGGGCGUAAAGCGUGCGCAGGCGGUUUGCUAAGACCGAUGUGAAAUCCCCGGGCUCAACCUGGGAACUGCAUUGGUGACUGGCAGGCUAGAGUAUGGCAGAGGGGGGUAGAAUUCCACGUGUAGCAGUGAAAUGCGUAGAGAUGUGGAGGAAUACCGAUGGCGAAGGCAGCCCCCUGGGCAAUACUGACGCUCAUGCACGAAAGCGUGGGGAGCAAACAGGAUUAGAUACCCUGGUAGUCCACGCCCUAAACGAUGUCAACUAGUUGUUGGGGAUUCAUUCCUUAGUAACGUAGCUAACGCGUGAAGUUGACCGCCUGGGGAGUACGGUCGCAAGAUUAAAACUUCAAAGGAAUUGACGGGGUCAUAGCUGUUUCCU
This 583-nucleotide ribosomal RNA is filed under the name uncultured bacterium. RNAcentral's name for it is "partial 16S ribosomal RNA". It matches the Rfam family "Bacterial small subunit ribosomal RNA", at positions 355 to 1375 of the family's 1533-position model. The record is from RNAcentral.